Molecule: unclassified non-coding RNA, 378 nt
Filed under: uncultured delta proteobacterium
Lineage: Bacteria; Deltaproteobacteria
Description: contains 16S-23S intergenic spacer region
Source: RNAcentral
UCUGCCUUAUCGGCUAGCGGUCUCAUUAGAGUGCCCAACUUAAUGCUGGCAACUAAUGACAAGGGUUGCGCUCGUUGCGGGACUUAACCCAACAUCUCACGACACGAGCUGACGACAGCCAUGCAGCACCUGUCUCUGCGUCUCCGAAGAGAACUCCGACUUUCAUCGGACAGCACAGGAUGUCAAGCCCAGGUAAGGUUUUUCGCGUUGCAUCGAAUUAAACCACAUAAUCCACCGCUUGUGCGGGUCCCCGUCAAUUUCUUUGAGUUUUAAUCUUGCGACCGUAAUCCCCAGGCGGAGCACUUAACGCGUUAGCUACGACACCGAAAGGGUAAGAUCUUCCGACAUCUAGUGCUCAUAGUUUACGGCGUGGACUAC